CACAACCAGUUUUAUUCUGAGAGAGAAAAGGGAAACUGGAAGAGUUCCCAAAUUCAACAUCUGCAAGCGGAGAGGAUGACGAAAUGCAUUAGUCCUGAGGAGUAACUUUCUCCCAUCUUCUCGGAAAACAUCUGGGGCAUUACCCUCCCCUCCACUCAUUCCCCCACCUCCCACCCAAAGCUGACUCUUGGCUGACAGUUUAUCAGAGAUAAAUGGAAACACCUGGGAGCCAGAUAAGGCCAACUGAGUGUGACCAGCGGAGGAGCCCUCGGGGACGCAUGCCACUCAAUAUUUCUUUUUCUUCACCAGGCAGGGUGGGAGCACGAUCUAGCUUGUGACGGAUGGCAAGGCUCCCUUUCACGUUCAUUCUUUCCUUCAUUCAUUCCAAACAACCUCAAGAGGUCGGCUGGCCCAGCUUCCUGCCUGAGGUAGGUCAACACCGAAACCACCAGAACUGCUGUUCUGAGAAGCACACGUCCGGAAAUGUUACUGAUCCACAUGGUGGGUGCACGCAGGAUCCGAGUGCCGUGCCUCAGGAAACAAGCUCCCUCUCCAUCCUCCUUGCCUUCUCUUCAGCCCACCAGCAUAUAGAAGUUCCUGGGAAUGCCCAAGAUGCAGAUGUGGAGUAACCAGCCCUGGAAUCCCAGUCCCAGCUACUGUCUGCCUUAAAGUGGGAAAGACUGAUGGUUAUCCUGCAAAAUUCUUUCUCCCUUUCUGCUUUAAUAAAAGAAACUCUAAUUUUUGGCUGACCAUGUAGCCAUUCUGAGUAAAGCUACAGUUCUCAACCUCCUUUCCACCUAGGUGUACAACUACAGGAAGUGCUGUGUGCAACAUCUAGGAACUGUAUUUAAAGGGAAGGAACAUGCUCUUCUUUCUCUUUUUUCCCUCUCUGCUUCCGGAAUAAGGAUGUGAUGAUAGGAGCUUGAGCAGCCAUCUUGGAUCAUGUGGUAGAAGCCACAUGCUCAGCAAGAUAGAAGGAGAUUAGGUCCCUGAUGUUGUAGAGUGAGAUGUCAACUCAAGAUUGACACAUCUGGGUUCCUUUGACCUGAAAUAGAAAUAAACAGUUUUUAAAAAUUAUUUAAGCCACUGUUAUUUUGGGGUUUCUGCCACCUCAGCAGAAUCUAAUCCUAACUGCUUUGGCUCCUCUCUUCAGCUAAUCCCCUCAGCUCUCUCAAGAGUAAACUAAAAGAUUUAUUCCUAGAACAGUUUAUUUCCUAGAACAACCUUUCAGAAAGCCAUCUUGACUGGGAACAAGUUAGCAUCAGAAGGACCCCACUGAAGUGUCUCUCCUAAUGACCAUCUGCACCUCUGUUCAGACUCUCUCCCACCCAAGACCUUUCACAAGGAGAGCAGGAGAUGAGAGUUGGCGGGGCAAGCCUCCACACCACAGUGAUUAGCACACCAACCGACCCAGCCUGGGUGGUCUAGCCCGAGUGGCCAUGUGUUUUCCCACUCUUUGCCCCAAAGAACCAUUCCCUGAAUUUGCCAAACUGUUGGUCCUCAUGUGUUCACUUGGCUGCACUCCCAUUCGCUAUUAGUGCCUUUCCCACAUGAACCAUCCAAUUUGUUCUUUAGUGUAUACGCACCAUCUAUUCUGACAGGCGUCAGUGUGAUAUGGUUCAGAUUCAGCUUCGCAAACUAACACAGAUAUUCCAAUCCACUACCAUGGCUCUGCCAGUCUACUCCAUGUUUAAAUCCUUAGUGCCAAGGCUAGUCAUUGAAACAAAGGCCAAACUUGGGCUAUGUCACCCACAGAUACUCCCUGAGCUGGGGGAGCUCUAGGCCAAUGAUCGUUGGCUAAAAUUUGGUUCUCUGGGAGAAACUAAGGUAUGAUCAUGGGUGGGCAAUCCAAUGGGUGUACUUAAAGUUGUGAUGAAUCUUUUUUCAUCUCUGUUUAUAAGAUACGUGAAGAAUAGAGGUUAAUUAUUUGUAUUUCCUGAGGGCAAAACUCUGUGUAUACACAAGUGCUUGAUUGUAAGCCUUCCUUUUUGUCCACUCCUUUGUUGUAGCAGUUCUCCAAUGCCUGGAAUUAGAUGGAGCUCAGGCACACACUUGUCCUCUGUCAUCCGACAGCAUGGUGCGUGAGGGGCCUCUGCAGCUCCCGCAGUUCCUGGCUUAGUGCAGCAGUCUGGACAGCUUACUUCAAGAAGAAAGAACAACACACGCCCAAUUACUCUAAGAAUAUACUUCAGAUACACCUGUUUGACUUCCCAAGGCC
Equus caballus (horse) is the source of this 2218-nucleotide long non-coding RNA. Lineage: Eukaryota; Metazoa; Chordata; Mammalia; Perissodactyla; Equidae. The record is from Ensembl.